UGCAGAUCCUUGACGCCUCUCUGGCCACAGACAGACUCAGAUACUAGGAGCUGCAGCUGGUUUGGUUCAUUUACUGUGAAAAGUUCCACAUUUCAUAUAAUGAAAUCAGCAAAAAGUUCAUCCUGACCUCCUCAGAAUCAGAUGAGAUAAAAACGGUGCAAAGACGAGAUGGAAAAAGUGCAAAGAAGAGAUGGGAAAAGUGCAAAGAAGGGAUGAAAACGGUGCAAAGAUGAGAUGGAAAAAGUGCAAAGAAGAGAUAAAAAUGGUGCAAAGACGAGAUGGAAAAAGUGCAAAGAAGAGAUAAAAAUGGUGCAAAGACGAGAUGGAAAAAGUGCAAAGAAAAGAUAAAAAUGGUGCAAAGACGAGAUGGAAAAAGUGCAAAGAAGAGAUGGGAAAAGUGCAAAGAAGAGAUGGAAAAAGUGCAAAGAAGAGAUGGGAAAAGUGCAAAGAAGGGAUGAAAACGGUGCAAAGAUGAGAUGGAAAAAGUGCAAAGACGAGAUAAAAAUGGUGCAAAGACGAGAUGGAAAAAGUGCAAAGAAGAGAUAAAAAUGGUGCAAAGACGAGAUGGAAAAAGUGCAAAGAAGAGAUAAAAAUGGUGCAAAGACGAGAUGGAAAAAGUGCAAAGAAGAGAUGGGAAAAGUGCAAAGAAGAGAUGGGAAAAGUGCAAAGAAGGGAUGAAAACGGUGCAAAGACAUCCUCUGCAUCACCCGUCACUCAUGGCUCCUGAGUGUCCUUCAGUGUUGUUGUUGCUGUUCUUUAGUCACCAUGGCAACCAGACCUGAGGCUGUUCUUAUAAACUCACCUGCUUCUCUGAAACUGAACCAGUGUGACGACAACCCUGGAGGAACGUGCUUCAGUUUGGAGGCUGGACGUGAUGCGACUGUUUUUCCAUUUAGUGCAUCUUCUUCUGCUGGAAACUGAAAGUACUUGAGGGCUGGAAAUUUACAUCCUUUGACAGCCGCCUCGUUUCAUUCCCACGUGAGAUCGGAGGCGAAAAGGUGAGACGUUCACAGAGUCGUAGAAGCAAACAUCAGAGAGAGAUAAGAAUCACUCAGCUGUGACAUUAAACACUUGACCUGGAAUCAUCGGAGCACUGAAAGUGAGGAGAUGAUGUGCAGGAUUCUGCUGCUGCUCAGCUUCAGCUCCAGUGUCUCUGGAGUCCUGUCCUUUAACAAGGCUUUACACUAUGAGGCUGAGGAGAACAGCAACGUCACCGUGGAGUGGAGCUUCGCCUUGACAACCGGCCUCAGCAUCUCCUCCCUGAAGAUCCACUGUUUGCUGCUCCCUGACCUGCAGGUGUUUUAUCACCUGGACCACAGCGUGGAGGAGCCUCAGCACCAGCGGUUUGCUGGACGGGUCCAAUGCGACACAGAGGCUCUGACUGCAGGACGAGUCCGGCUGCUUCUGUCCAGGACCAGGACAGACGACUCGGGCCGCUACCUGUGCAGGAUGGUCACCGGGUUUGGCAAGGAGGUCAGAGAGUUCUGGCUCAACGUCACCGCUGCAACAGUCAGAACCACACCUGAACCUCCCAGUGCGGUCAGAACCUUGCUGCUGGUUGCCAUGGCAGCAGGGGUGGUGGUUCUGUUGACCUCCUGCUGCCUGGUGCUCCACUGACGUCCGAUCUGAGUCUAACGAGGAUCUGGCGCCCUCUUGCUGCUCCAGAAGGAACCUGCAGGUGAGUCACACCUGGCUCUGCUGCAGAAGCUUCACCGCAGAGUUGUGGUUCUGGACCGACCCGGUUCCGUGGAGGCGGGACCGCAGCGUUCUUGUUUACCUGCCUGGAGGAGCUCUUGAAGCUCAGGUGAUCACAGAUGUUCUCGCUGAUGUUUAAAAGUGAAACCGGUUUACGGGGACUUUGGUGUAAAUGUGAAUGUUUUCAGACAGAAUUCACUAAAUCUGUUCCUCAACUUUCUGUGAUCCUCUUCGGUUUACGUUUUCCAUAUCUGGGUUUUCACGUGUUGGUUAAAUAAACGUUGCAGUAACCGUUCUGUAAUCUUCAUGUCAGUGGAUCAUGGAUUGUAAAUACAUAAAGUAAUGAUACAAGUCUUCACCUGAAUAAUCAACACUGACUUUAUGUUUUGGAAUAUUUAUACUUUGUCUGUCGAUAAAUGUACUUUUUUUCUUUUAAAUAUUAAAAAAAAUGCUUUUAUUGCAAGUAGUGCUUUUAUUUUCAGGCUACAUUUCUCUUUUAAUGCUGCAGUAAGGGGACCAAGCAAACAUACACGAGGAUUUGUUUUGAUAGUUGCCUUUUUUUUGUUGCAUGAAUAAAAACCAGAUUUGGUGUUUAGAGUGUGUCACCUGGAGUGGAUGUAAAACUGGUCUGGUGUCAGUUUUAACCAGAACUCUGAUGUGUUUGUCUUCCUAAAAUGCCAUGUGUCUGACUCCUCGUCACACUUUGAAUCAGAAAACAAAGAUUAUGACUUCUUGAUGAACAACAUCCUCAUCUUCGGGACAUUUUAUAUACACAAAUGCAAAUCCAUGAUGGUAAAUCCUAGAUUUUAUGUGUUUCAUGAGGAGUUUCUGUCCUUCACUAAAGCCCUUAAAAAUGAAGUCUAAACAUGCAAUGAAACUGUUCAAUGUGAUUGAGAAUUACGAUCUGCAAAAAAACGCCUUAGCUCUAUGUUUUGUUCUGUUUUAUUUAUAUUUAUUUAUUUUUUUUCCUUUUUUGCUUUGAUUCUAUUUCAUUCUCUGACUGCGCUUCAUAUAAUUUUCAAGAACUGCCUCUUUUAAUAGAUUUAUAUAAUAUUUUACUGCACUGGAAGCACCUGUUCGUUAUAAAAAAUGCCUUUGUAGAGACUGUAUUCUACAGUGUUUUGUUAAAUGAUUUUGUCAAUAAAGG
Amphiprion ocellaris (clown anemonefish) is the source of this 2842-nucleotide long non-coding RNA. The record is from Ensembl. NCBI's taxonomy places the organism in Eukaryota, Metazoa, Chordata, Actinopteri, Pomacentridae.